GAAUUUGGUAGUUCUACAACAAAUAUGGUGCGAGAAAAGUUGUCCCGCACAAAACAGUUUUUGCUAUGUUGUACAUUUGUAAGACGGAGACAAGACGACAUGCGGGUAUGACGGGUCCUCUUAUACCCAAUAUUUGUGUCUUCAAAUGCUCAUAAAAAUUUAAUUUGACUUUCCGGUAAAAAAAUUUUUUUUGUUAAAUUUACGAAAACUUAAGGGGAAUUGUGCAUGAAAAUUUCAAACCUUAGAUAUGCAUAGAACAUUUUUUAUGAAUUUCUAACGUGAGAUAAUAACCGAUUUUCGUGAUUUUGAUAAAUUUUGUCAACAUUUUAACUUCAGACGCUUAUAAAAAAUUAUUUUGGUUUUGCGCUCAACUUUUUUUUUUAAUUUCCACAACAACUACUUAAGGUAGGUCCGUUGUAUUACGUUUUCCUAUAGGCACUGUUCAUUUCGACAUCCCUUAUGCACCUACUAGAUUCACUUACCGGAAAAGAUGAAAAGCGGAGCAUUGUUUCGAAUACUCAUCGUGUACACUGACGCAAAUAAUAACAAUUUAUUAAGCAGAACGUACAUUUUGUCAUUAGUAUCAAUAUAGAUCGAUUCACUCUAAUUUUUAAACUAAUUAUGCUAAAUUAAAAUGUGAUCGUAAAUUUGCUAUAUAUAAGACGGACACAAUAAAAUGCCCGUGUUACGUGUUAAAUCGUGGAGCUGCAUCGUUCACGAAUUUUCAAAAUUUUAAUGCCCGCGAUUCUGUCUUAUCACUAUGUACCGCUAAAUAGUAAUAACUGUUAUCAAAUAAAUAACAACAUAAUAUUAUUAUUUUUUCGUAUGCCGACUUUAAAUUUGAAUCACUCACGAAUCUCGAUUAUUUGAAAUUUUAACAAAAAUAAAGACUACAGAACACUCGUAAAGAGUUCUAUUCAUACAUUUUAGUACAAAACCACCAUUGACAAGUGUAUUCUUUUCAGUAAAACAUUCAACGUAUCGCCUCGCCACAGCACGUCAAUCUUCAUUUAUUUCCAAAAAAUCAAUGAAAUAGAAGGGAAUAAUGGCUAAAAAUGUUCGAAUUAAAUGAUCACCCCAAUUUCUACCUGGCAUAGAAUCUGCGGUAAUCAUUUCACAAUAAUUAUUGGUUGCAAACAACGCUCGGUAAAUUAGUAAACAUGGUCAGAAGCCGUCUCAAAACAUAAUCCAAACCACUUGUCCGGGAUAGAGAAGUAAAAUAAAUGUUAGUGAUUCACGGCAACAUUUGUAAGUCCUACUGUGUGCGCGACUAGUAAAUCUCAUCUAAGAGAAAAUUUUGUUUCUCCAACGACGAGUUAGAAGAGAAUGUACAGACGAAUAAAGGAUUUGGAGUCCAUACAGUUGAUGAUUUUAAUUCAUCCAGAAAAGCCUUAGAUACCCAAUAAUGUCUAAUUCACACACACUUAUCUCAUACAAUGGAUUAUACUUAUUAUGGUUAUCAAAACUGAAAUAUAUGAUGUGCCACUUACAAGGAGCUAGGUAGUGGAGCCAAUGUAUUAACAAUUUUUCAGACGUUGACUCUCUCGAAGAUAAUUCUACCGACUCAGGUGAAGCCAUACCUUAUUGGAGCGAAUUAUGAAACUGAAAGGUAAUACAAUUUUGCUGACCAAGAAUCCAAUUUUAACAACGCAGAGGGCCUCAACAUAUUCAAAUAGCAAAGAAACACAUAACUAGUUUGGACAUUGAUAUCUUUUCUGAAGGGAAAGUGCAUCUAGUUGGAUGCGUUAAACAGGUCGUCAAGCCCGUUCCCAUUCACAAACUUGUUUGAAAAAAGAGUAUGCAAUGACCAAAAAGCUUCAGUGGCUGUUAUUAAAAUUCUUCAACUAUCAACAAUGGACAUGAUUUAUGAAGACUUUUAAAUUAGUUAUAUUCUGAUAGGCACCUAUUUCCUUAAAUUUGUGUACUUAUUUGUCCUACGUUUUCCCCCCACCUUCCAUCAGAAAGUAAUUAGUUACUUUAUCUAAGCAAAAAAUACCAUACCUAUUCACUGUGGAGUUGUGUUUGUGAAUAAAAUUAUUUUGUCAAUGACUAAUUUAAGAAAACAUUAUUUUUUAAUUUUAUAAUAAAAAACAAUAGUAGGUACCUAUUUAA
RNAcentral lists this long non-coding RNA (2112 nucleotides) under Acyrthosiphon pisum (pea aphid). Its description in RNAcentral is "uncharacterized LOC115034010". Lineage: Eukaryota; Metazoa; Arthropoda; Insecta; Hemiptera; Aphididae. The record is from RNAcentral.